This 544-nucleotide ribosomal RNA is filed under the name uncultured bacterium. RNAcentral describes it as "bacterial SSU rRNA". It matches the Rfam family "Bacterial small subunit ribosomal RNA", at positions 355 to 896 of the family's 1533-position model. The record is from RNAcentral.
UGGGGAAUAUUGCACAAUGGGCGCAAGCCUGAUGCAGCGACGCCGCGUGCGGGAUGGAGGCCUUCGGGUUGUAAACCGCUUUUAUAGGGGGGCAAGCUAUGCCUGUGUGGUGUGGUGAGUGGACUUUAUGAAUAAGCACCGGCUAACUACGUGCCAGCAGCCGCGGUAAUACGUAGGGUGCAAGCGUUGUCCGGAUUUAUUGGGCGUAAAGGGCUCGUAGGCGGUUUGUUGCGUCUGGUGUGAAAGCUUACUGCUUAACGGUAGGUUGCGCUGGAUACGGGCAGGCUUGAGUGCAGUAGGGGAGACUGGAAUUCUCGGUGUAACGGUGGAAUGUGUAGAUAUCGGGAAGAACACCUAUGGCGAAGGCAGGUCUCUGGGCUGUUACUGACGCUGAGGAGCGAAAGCGUGGGGAGCGAACAGGAUUAGAUACCCUGGUAGUCCAUGCUGUAAACGGUGGACGCUGGAUGUGGGGCCCAUUUCCACGGGUUCUGUGUCGGAGCUAACGCGUUAAGCGUCCCGCCUGGGGAGUACGACCGCAAGGUUG